GACAGAGGGUGCAAACGUUGUUCGGAUUUACUGGGCGUAAAGCGCGUGUAAGCGGCCUUGCAAGUCGGAUGUGAAAGCCCACGGCUCAACCGUGGAAGUGCAUCCGAAACUGCAUAGCUUGAGUCUCGGAGAGGAAGGUGGAAUGCUUGGUGUAGAGGUGAAAUUCGUAGAUAUCAAGCAGAACACCUGCGGCGAAGGCGGCCUUCUGGACGAUGACUGACGCUGAGACGCGAAAGCGUGGGGAGCAAACAGG
This 253-nucleotide ribosomal RNA is filed under the name uncultured bacterium. RNAcentral's name for it is "partial 16S ribosomal RNA". It matches the Rfam family "Bacterial small subunit ribosomal RNA", at positions 524 to 776 of the family's 1533-position model. The record is from RNAcentral.